RNAcentral lists this ribosomal RNA (462 nucleotides) under uncultured bacterium. RNAcentral describes it as "bacterial SSU rRNA". It matches the Rfam family "Bacterial small subunit ribosomal RNA", at positions 343 to 796 of the family's 1533-position model. The record is from RNAcentral.
CGGAGGCAGCAGUGAGGAAUCUUGCGCAAUGGGCGAAAGCCUGACGCAGCAGCGCCGCGUGUGUGAUGAAGGUCUUCGGAUCGUAAAGCACUGUCGCGAGGGACGAAUAAGGGUCGGGAUAAUACCCCGGUCCGAUGACGGUACCUCGAGAGGAAGCACCGGCUAACUCUGUGCCAGCAGCCGCGGUAAUACAGAGGGUGCAAGCGUUGUUCGGAAUUAUUGGGCGUAAAGCGCGUGUAGGCGGCUCAGCCAGUCAGGUGUGAAAGCCCUCGGCUUAACCGAGGAAGUGCGCCUGAAACUACUGAGCUUGAGUACCGGAGAGGGCGGUGGAAUUCCCGGUGUAGAGGUGAAAUUCGUAGAUAUCGGGAGGAACACCAGCGGCGAAGGCGACCGCCUGGACGGCUACUGACGCUGAGACGCGAAAGCGUGGGGAGCAAACAGGAUUAGAUACCCUUGUAGUCC